Molecule: ribosomal RNA, 492 nt
Filed under: uncultured bacterium
Lineage: Bacteria
Description: bacterial SSU rRNA
Rfam family: Bacterial small subunit ribosomal RNA
Source: RNAcentral
GACGAACGCUGGCGGCGUGCUUAACACAUGCAAGUCGAACGGUGACGAAUGGAGCUUGCUCUGUUCUGAUCAGUGGCGAACGGGUGAGUAACACGUGAGUAACCUGCCCCUGACUCUGGAAUAACUUCGGGAAACCGAAGCUAAUACCGGAUAUGACACAGAGCCGCAUGGUUUCUGUGUGGAAAGUUUUUCGGUUGGGGAUGGACUCGCGGCCUAUCAGCUUGUUGGUGAGGUAAUGGCUCACCAAGGCGACGACGGGUAGCCGGCCUGAGAGGGCGACCGGCCACACUGGGACUGAGACACGGCCCAGACUCCUACGGGAGGCAGCAGUGGGGAAUAUUGCACAAUGGGCGAAAGCCUGAUGCAGCGACGCCGCGUGAGGGAUGAAGGCCUUCGGUUGUAAACCUCUUUCAGUAGGAAGAAGCGCAAGUGACGGUACCUACAGAAGAAGCACCGGCUAACUACGUGCCAGCAGCCGCGGUAAUCUAGUCU